RNAcentral lists this long non-coding RNA (9290 nucleotides) under Manihot esculenta (cassava). Its description in RNAcentral is "long non-coding RNA (MESC_LNC003414)". The record is from RNAcentral. Lineage: Eukaryota; Viridiplantae; Streptophyta; Magnoliopsida; Malpighiales; Euphorbiaceae.
UUUUUUUUAUCAUACAAGAUAAGUUGUAUUUAAAGUCCAAAUGGACAAUUGAUUACAAAGCCAAACUGGCCCAAUAACAAAACAGCCCAAAUUUCAACCCAAACCCGAAUAGAAUCUAGCCCAUCUCAAGAAUUUUCUGGAAUACCCACCUCUCCAUCCCUCGCUCUCCCACAAUUGAUUCCCGGGCUCCAGAUGCUUGUGAAACUGUCGAUGACCAUACGCGUAGAAGAUAAAAUUCAAGUAAAAACCAGCAACUCAAAUCCGAAAACAACUCAAGAGAGCAACAUCCUGAUAGGAAAGGAAGAAAAUGAAAGAGUUCAAACAACGAAACAUGCUCAACCCAUACCAGGUUCGAGACCAAAAUCGCCAACUGAAAUCCAAGGGGAAGGCCAUGAUAUAGCCAUGGAGCCGCAGGAAGAAGGCAAAUUCGCACUCCAGCUUGAAUUAUCCAUCGAUUCGCACCACCCUCGACAACAAUCGGUCGAAAAGAAGAUCUGAGACGCAGAAUGAAAUUAUGUAACUAGAGAUACAAUCGCACCGAACACGGACAAAAUCGGAUCCCAGCCAAAUACCUCACUGCAUAUCAUAAGAGCAAAACCAAAACUAUACAGAAAAUCGCAGCAAGAGAAAUCUCACCCCUGAAAACCCUCGUCUUCCAGGUCGCUUAUACUCUUUCUCUAUUGCUUUCUUCUUCUUCUUAUUUUUAUUUUUAUUUUUUCUAAAUAUAAUAGACUGAAUAUUUCGCUCUCUAUAUAUAAAUCUCAUUGUCUCGUAUAUAGCAUGAAGAUAAUCAAGUUGCAGAUCUUUUAGCAAAAGAGGGAGCAACGUCAAUAUGCUUCGUUGCUUUUCCAUAAAAAGAACUUUUCACUUUUGUUCUCAGUUUCUUUUUUAUUUCAAUUGACCUGGUUAUGCUAUUAUAUGAGCUAGCCGAUUGCUUUUCUUUGCUUUGCUUUCUUUCUUUCUUUUUUUUNUAUUUUUUUAUUUUUUUAUACGGUUUUGUUUGGUCUUCUGUAUUCUUCAGAUUUUUUCAUUUAAUAUAUCACAACUCUAAAAUGGAUGUAAGGGGUUUUUCAGGGGUUUAGUUUCCCAUGAUUAUACUAAGUUUUUCUGAUUUUUUUACAUAAAAUUUUAUUUAUAAAAAUAUUAAUGAUUUGAAAAUUGUUACGUUCAUUUUCAUCGGUUCUAAAAUGGAUGUAAGGGGUUUUUUUAAAAUUUAAUUUGCUAUGAUUAUACUAAAUUUUUUCUGGUUUUUUUUAAAUAAAAUUUUAUUUAUAAAAAAUAUAAAUUAAUAAUAAUAAUUUGAAAAUUAUUGCAUCUAUAUUAAUCGAUAUAAUUAAUAUACAACAAUGAUAUAAUUAAUUAUUUUGGUGGCCUUAGAAUUUUGGAUUUUAUUAAAAAUUUUUAAUUUGCAAUAUUUUCUCUAAAUUUUUGUUUUUCUAUAAUCAAAAUAAUUUUUCUUAUUUUAAUAAGAAAACUUAGUUUAUUUCACAGUUAAUUUUAAUUUAAAAAAUAAAAUUUAUUUAUAAAAGCUUUAGUAAAAUAAGUCUUUUUCCUUAAAAUAAUUUAUUUUUUUUAAUAAAAAAAAAUAUUUUUUUACGUUGAUUAAAUUUUUUGAAUGUUUUAAAUAUCAAAAAAUAUAAAAAUUUUUUUUUAAAAAUAUUUUAAAUAAAUGGGUCGAAAUGUUUAAUUUUUUUUUUUUUAGUUUAAUUUAGAGUAUGAAAAGAAAAACCAAUUUACCUUUUAAGUCUAUACUUCAUUUUUCAAGUUAUAAUUAUUUUUUGUAUUUUAUGUUAGAAUUCCGAAAUCUCACCAUGAGGGAUCAACAAAAAAUAGUAGCAAUAAAAUUAAAGUUUAACAAUCAAAGUGUGGCUAAAUAAAUUUGUUUAAAAAGGAUACUAUUCAAAAUUUUCUCAUCAUUUACAACAAUUAUUUAUCUAUUUUAAUAAAAAAAAUAUAUGGAGACAUAAAAAAAAUUAAUUUACGUAUUAGCAGGAUGUGCAGUUUUUCUAUUGAUAUUUAAAAAAAAAAAACUGAUUUUUCGGUUUUUUAAUUUUGAUUUGAUUAGGUAUCAAGCUGACCCCAAGUGCUUUUUAAGUGUAAUUCUUUAUCUUUGUUAGGAAUGAAGAUUUCCCUUUUAAAAUAAAUAAAAAUAAAUUGAAUAUAAGUGGUUAGACAAUAAUAUUAAAUUGAUUUUAAUAUGUUCAUCAAUUUCUCUAAAAUUUUGUAUUUAAUUUGAGUUUUAACUAUCCAUAAUGUUAUAUAAUUAUGUCCAUAUUAAGUUAUAUAAAUUAAUAUUAAGUAUUAUAAGUGUUACAAAUAAAAAUUCUACAUUAAAAAUAAAUAAAAAUAAAAUAAUUAAUAACAGCGAUUGAAUUAUAAUUUCAAAUUAAUUAAUCAUUUUAAUAUAUAAAUCAACUCAAUCACUUAUAUAAAAUAAAUUAAUAUUUAAUAUAUUCUACGCUCUUUUCAAAAUUUAACAAUCCCAUAGUGUUAAAGUUUAUUCAACUCGAAUCAUUUAAAAAAAUUGAUAGUCCUAAAUUUUAAUUUUUUUAAUAAGCAUAAAAUUAAUUUAUUAAAUAAAUGAAAGGAAUAGUAAAAGGAGAAAGUGCUCUAAAGACCAUCCAACAUAGAGAGGGAACAUCUCCGAUUGCAAGAACAACAAAACAAAGUAAAGUAUAAAACACUUACCCUCCAUUUACAAUGAAACAUUUUAUAAAAAUUUAAUUUCAAUUGAUUUUUUUUAAAUAAUUUCUUAUAUGGUAUGAAAUUAUUCUGCUUAAAAUUUUCUUUUUAACAAUUUAACUUAAAAAAUUUCAUUUUAAAAUAAGUUGAAAUUUCAAAUGAUUUUGAAAAUUUUAAUUUAUUUUUUUUCUUAUAAAAUAAUAAUACCAAAUAAAGGAUUAAUGAAAAACGCAAUAAAUCAAAAUACUUAUUGGGCAACUAUAUCUUCAAUUAGUUUGAUUAAAAAAUAUUAUUGUUACACAACACUCGCUUAAAAAAAUAUUAUUGUUACACAACACUCGUUUAAAGUAGGUAGCGAGCUGUCACUAUAAGAUAGAGUCACAUGAAUAGGAUUUAACACACAGUCCUACUCGUAAAAAGAAAAGCUCGGAUGACCAUAAUGUCCGAAACCGAGAGAAAAAAAAGACUUGGACGCUACAGGUUGGCCUCAAGACAAGUCGGUUUAAGGUCGGACAGACUCACCCUCUUAACUUCAGGACAAGACUCCAUAAGGAAGUUACCUUUAACAGUUAUAAUCUAGCAGAUCCCCUUUAUGCCUGUAAUCAUGGAAUCCCGGCCAAUUAGCCAAUGAAGAUCUUUUACCAACUAGCCGACCACAUCAUCAACGAAUUAUCAGGAAAUACUAUAUUUUUUUUCAUCUUCUUAUAGUAUAAAAGGAGAAUGAUCACAGAGGCAAAGGUACGCUAUUCUCUCAUACCAAUACUCUAAGUUCUAAAGAUCAUACUUACCUUUCUCUUCAACUUACUAACUUGAGUAUCAGAGUGGCUGCCAUAGGCACCAACCACCUUACGUUCUCUGUCUUGCAGGUGGACCAAUCAUAGCACAAUUCCGUUGGACCAAUUACAAUACGGCUCCAUUCUGGCCACGUCAUCAAUUUAUUUUUAGGAGUAUCAUUUUGGUUUUGUUGCUGUGAAUCCAUUGAAUCCUCUCUGUUCAUUUGGAUUAUAACCUAUUUUCUACUCUUUUUCUCAUAAAAAGAGAUCUCUUUCUUUUCUUGAAAUGGUUGGUAGUUCAUGAGCUGCUGCUAAGACUGCUACCAAUGAGGGCGUCAUCAUCUCUUAUGCCCCUGGCAGUAGGCAAAACACGCCCUCAAUAGUCAAUAAAACAAAUCUCAACAACUUGACCAAUGAGAAGAAGCUCCAAUACAUCUAGAAGUUGCAGGCUACUCUCGAGCAAUACAAGGCCUGGAGGGAGGCGUCAGUCACGGCUCUCAUGGAAAGGGAAGAAGCUCCUGUUGACACCCUAAGGACCCAUACAGGGUCGAAUAAGAGAUGGUCCAAAGGGAAGGCGGAGGUCGAAGAAGAUGAAGUAAAGAAUGCUCCGAAAGGUGUGGACUGAAAGUUAGUACAGACUGUUCAAAGGUACCAGAGAGAACAAAAGGAGGACUUUGGCAUAGAGCAGGAUGCUUCGCCUCUUUUAAAAGAAAUUUUGGUAGAAAUCUUCCCAACUAAAUUCGAGCUGCCUAGCUUAGAUAAAUAUGAUGGAACAACAGAUCCCAGAAGUCACCUAACUAUCUUUAGGACGACCAUGCAGCUUCAGGAUGUCAUUGACCUUAUUUUUUGCCGAAUGUUUCCGUCAACAUUCACAGGUUUGGCUUAAAAAUAGUAACAACAUCUGAGUUCGGAUUUGAUUUAAAACUUUAUGCAGUUCACUACAUGAUUUAAAUCUCGAUUUAUUACUUGUAUACCUCCUAAAAAAACUCUCCUCUGACUUGCAGAAGAUCCACUAAGAAGAGGGCGAGUUUCUAAGGAGUUUUAUCUCACGGUUCAAUGUCGAGGCUAUACAGGUGGAAGAAUUAAAUCAUGAGAUAGCAUGUGAAGCACUGAAGAAAGCAAUACGCAAUGUCAAGUUCAUGAAUUUCUUAAUUAAAAAUUCAGUCGCAAUGUAUCAAUAGUUGAUAGACAAAACCCAGAAGUAUAUCAGGCUGGAUGACAAAAUCCAAGCACUAAGGAAGGACAAGAGAGCGAACCAAAAGAAAAAAGAAAAGCCAAAAAGACAAGGACAUGAAGGGGAACACAGAAGUUAUCAUGUCUCCUGAAGGAGGGAUAGUCAAAGUAAGUAUAAGAAUUAUACUCCGUUGAAUGACUCACGGACACGUAUUUUAAUGUGGAUCAUGAAAAAAGACAAGAAAAUAAAGUGGCUACCUAAGUUCAAUCCCGAGAAAGUGGAAAAAAUGAGACAGGACCAAGUACUGCCGUUUCUAGAAAGAUCAUGGUCAUACAAUGGAGGAGUGUUGGUAAUUAAAAGAUGAGAUUGAGAAACUGAUAAGGAAUGACACUCUUUGGAAGUUCACCAAGAAGGGUAGGAAAGAGGAAAGACCCAAACCCGAAGCAACAACUCCCGAGACCAUUCCCUGACUGAUAGCCUGUAGGGAUUAUUUAUGUAAUGGUGGAAGGACCUAGUGAUGAUUAGGGAAAAUAAGCAUACCACAGACGUAAUAGUCAGCCUGGUCGAUUGGGCGAGAACUGAAAAAGGUAAUAAUCCGAACGUUGGACAGUGAAAACAUUCAUAAAAGACUGCAGCUUCGUUGGGCAUGAGUCUCGCAUAAUAAGGCAUCUCAUGCCAGGCCAUAAGGUAAUCACCAGGUCAUAAUACGGGCGUUGGACCAUGAAAAUAUUUAUAAAAGAUCGCAGCUCCGUUAGGCAUGGGUCUUGCAUAACAAGGCAUCUCAUGUCAGGCCAUAAAGCAAUCGCUAGGCCAUAAUCCGGGCGUUGGAUCGUGGAAACAAACAUAUUCAUAAAACGACCACAAGGUCAUCUGAGCAUGAGUUCUGCAUAUAACCGAGCAUUGGAUCAUGGAAACAAACAAGUAAACAAAGGCCACAAGGCCAUCUGAGCAUGGGUCCUGCAUAUAAUUUGAGCGUUGGACCGUAGAAACAAACAAAUUCAUAAAAGGCCUCAAGGCCAUCCGAGCAUGGGUCCCACAUAACAAGGCAUUUAAUGCCAGGUUUCAAGGCAGAUAUAAGCUAGGUUGACCUAUCAGAUGUUAGUCCCGCUUUAUGAGAAGUUUUUAAGGCAUUUAAAGCCAGGCCGCAAGACGAGUAUAAGCCAAGUCUACCUACCGGGUGUUAAUCCUGCUUCACGAAAAGUUUCUAAGACAUUUAAUGCCAGGCUACAAGGCGGGUAUAAGUCAGGCUGACCUACCGAAUGUUAGUCCCGAGAAAUUUCUAAGGCAUUUAAUGCAUACCUCAAGACGGGUAUAAGCCAGGCCGACCUACUGAGUGUUAGUCCCAAAAAGUUUCUAAGGAAUUUAAUGUCAGACCUCAAGGCAAGUAUAAGUUAGGCCGAUCUACCAGGUGUUAGUGUCGAGAAGUUUCUAAGGCAUUUAAAGUCAGGCCUUAAGCGGAUAUAAGCCAGCUCAACUUAGCGAGUGUUAGUCCAACUUCACGAGAAAUUUAUAAGGCAUUUAAUAUCAGGCUGACCUAUCGGGUAUUAGUUUUGCUUUACGAGAAGUUUCUAAAGCAUCUAAUAUCAGGCCGCAAGCAGAUAUAAGCCAAGCUAACUUACCGAGUAUUAGUCCUGCUUUACGAGAAGUUUCUAAGGCAUUUAAUGUCAGGUCGCUAUGUGAAUAUAUGUCAGGCCAUUGUUUUCCAAGCUGAUAGUAUAAAAAAAAAAAAACAAACUUAGCAUUUCCUAGUAAACCAUGAGAGGCUAAAGGUUGAAGUUUACCAGCAUAAGUAUGACCAAGGUAGAGAUGCCACUGAUAGGAAGGGGAAGGAGUGGUUGUAGCUGCAGAUAUAUAUAUUGACGUGGAAUACGGUGAGAUGAAAGCUCAAAUAAUUUGCCCACUCUACAAUCUGUCCUAAGAAUCUGUCCCAUCUGUGAAUCCUAAACCUGGUAGCCAAGAGAAGAAAAAUAACUAUCAAUCCAUUUUCACAUAAUUUUCCAAUAGAUAUGAGGUUUAAAGUUAAUUAGUGACAUGAUUGAUAUUUGAAAAGUUAAGAUAUGAUGUAGAAGCAAGGCUAGUGUGAGUGAUAUUCAUUAUGGUCCCAUUAGCAAUAUUUAUAAGUGGCAAAGUGGAAAUAGAAGUUGGAUUUGAUAAAACUAUAGGGUCAAAGGUCAUAUGGUUACAACAGGCUAAGUCAAACAAUCAAGAAGAGUUAUCUAAAAGACAGACAUAGCACUUGAAGAAGAGAAAUUAGAGAAGAAAACCUGUUUAAAAAGAGCCUCAAGGUCACUUAUCGUAAUAGUAGUAGAAACCUUAGUAGUGACAACUGCGAGGGAAGAAGAUCUAGUCUUUGUGAUAUUCUUAGGCUUGAAAGAACCAUUCUUUGGUCGAAGAGGGCGAGUAGGACAAUUUUCAAGAAUGUGACCAAUACUAUGACAAUAUUUGCACUCUAUGAUAGGAAUUCUUACAAAAUUGAUUACCUAAUUUUUUAGCAAUAGAACGAGAAUGAGUUGCUACAAUUUUGUCCAGACUGAGACGAGUUUCUUCAAAAAUUAUUUCUUGAAUGGUAGUAUUUAAUAUAGGAAGAGGAUCUCGAUAGAGCAAGGCUGCAUGAACUGACUUCAUAUUCAAGUCGAAGAGCCAUGACAACCUGAAUGAGAUAGAGAUGAUCCUCAUUGAUUUUAGUUUGAGAUAAUUAAUUCCAAAUUGGUUGAAUCUGUGAAAAAAAAUCAUUCACAUAUUGUCCAGACUCUUACUUCAAAUGAUGAAGAGUAGUCCAUCAUUGAUAAUGGUGAGCACGGCAGAAGUGUGGUAUUGACUGGCCAAGAAAUCCCAUAUGCAUAAUAAUAUCUAUAUAUAGAUCUCGACAAGCAGAAUUGAAAAGUAGUGUUUCUUGAUCAGAUGAAACAUAUUAUCUAAUUACUUAGGAACAUUUUAUUUUUUUUAAAAAAAUAUUUUAAAUAAAUUCUUAUAAAAUUAUACACAAUUUCAAUUUCUUUUUAUAAUGAAUUAAAAAAAAAAAUGAAACAUAUUGUCUUAGCAACAUUUCAUUUUUCAAAAAAAUUAUUUUAAAUAAUUUUUUACAAAAUCAUACACAGUUUUAAUUUCUUUUAAAAUGAAUUAAAAAAAUAAAUUCUAAUUCCAAACAAGAUAAUUGAUUAAAAAAAUUAUCAAAUUUAAAUCCUCCGAAACAUUUUGAUUUCAAAUAGAGUUUGAAAUUUGGCGCUACUAUAGUCCUUCAUAAAAAAUUAUCAAAUUGAAAUCUUUUAAAAUAUUCGUAAUAAACUCGUUUAUUAUAUUAACGAGUCUAAAAAAUUAUCAAAUUAAAAUCGGCGCUACCACAGUCCUCCUUUCCUUCAUCAGAUUCGAGUUUUUUGAAUAGAGUUUGAAUUGACUUAUUAAUGUAAUAAACGAGUUUAUUACGAAUCGAGUUCGAACCGAACUCGAAUUUCAUAUUUAUUUUAUAAAUCGAGCUUGAGAUUAUAAAUAAAAACGAGUCGAACUUGAACUUUUAAAUUUAUUUUCUAAUCGAGUCUGAACUUAUUAAAACUCGACUCGAUUCGAUUCGAUUCGAUUACGGUCCUAAAAACAAAAAAGUUUUCUUUGAACCUUCUAGUACUUUUAAGGUUUUUUUUAUCAAAAUAAAAAAUUUUAAUUAUAAAUGUGAAAAUAUAUAAAAUAAUAAUUUUUUAGUCUUAUUAUUAUUAUAAAAUUAAAUAAAUUAUUACGGUUAUUCUAAUUCUCCCACCCCUUUUGAUCGAAAACUUUAUUAAAUUGAAAAAUAUUGAUAAAAACAUUUAAAUAUAAAUUAUAUUUUAGUUUUUGAGUCUUAAUAUAAUUAACGAAUCACUCUUUAUAUUUUUAAAAUCAAAUACUUAAAAUUCUUUUAUUUUUAUUCUAUCACUCCUUAUACUUUUAAAAUCGAACAUUUAAAUUUUUUUAUUUUUAUUCUGUUUAAAUGGACACCUCUAUCCAUUUUUCAGUUAAUUCAUUUAUAAAUUAUUAGUGAAAUAUUUUAUCUUUAUAAAAUACCUCUUAGACUAUAUAACACAUUUAAAAAUAAACUUUUACAUCAACACCCACUAACAACUGAAUGCCAAGAAUUUGACUCCCCGGAAUUGAAUGCCAAAAUUUACUCAUCCCAAUUAAAAGUAAAAGCUUUUAAUUAUAUCUCUCUCUAGCUAAGAACAUAAUCACAAAAUUUGCAGCAAUGUUCCUAAUUUUUCUUCUUCUGAGUUCAAUAUCUUCUCUGGCAACAGCUCAACGAAGUAUCAUCAGCCUAGGUUCGUCUCUCACACCCACUAACAAUUCGUAUUGGUCUUCAGAAUCUGGCCAUUUCGCCUUUGGUUUUUACCCACAAGGAGUCGGCUUUGCUGUAGGCAUAUGGUUGUUUAGAAUCCAUCAGAGAACUGUCAUUUGGACAGCUAACCGUGAGGAUCCACCUCUCUCUAGGAAUGCUACUUUGAUCCUUAAUGCUCAAGGUGAACUCAUUCUGCAGCAGCAGGGAAUUGAAUCCAAAUUCAUUGCAAAUAUUCCCAUAUAUGAUUCGGAUUCCAACUUCAUAUGGCAGACUUUUUAUGCUCCUACAGACACCAUCUUACCAGGGCAGGAACAUUUGGUGUGUAGCAUCUCCGACAUAGUUCAUUCAAGUGGAAGAUUUG